RNAcentral lists this long non-coding RNA (1094 nucleotides) under Elaeis guineensis (African oil palm). RNAcentral's name for it is "long non-coding RNA (EGUI_LNC077676)". Lineage: Eukaryota; Viridiplantae; Streptophyta; Magnoliopsida; Arecales; Arecaceae. The record is from RNAcentral.
AUAUUUCAUAUUCUAAUUUCAAUAAUAAAAUAUAUAAUCAUGUAGUAUCGAAAUCAAUCAAUAUAAUGCAUCAUGAAAUCAAUAUGUUCAAUCAUGCUUCAUCAUAACAUUUCAAAUAAGAUAUUUUUAUAACAAAAUAUCAUUCAUCCAAUUCAUGCAUCGUUUCACAAAUCAUAUCAGAAAAAUACAUUAUAAUUUGCCGAUAAAUCUAGAAAAAGUGAAACAUUACUUACCUCGAACGCAUUCCAAUAAAUCCACAUAAUUUUAUAAUUUUUUUUCAAAAAUUCUGUUCGUAGAUCAUAUUGCGAUAUCCCAUGAUCAAACAUCCACAAUCCUAUACAGAAUCAAUUUCAAUAAUUAGAAAGAAUACGAAUACCAUAUUUUCAACGAUUUAGAUUGGGUCCGAUCAUCUAAUUUCAUCUAAUCAAAAUCUAAUUAGGACCUAAACGAUCCAAAAUUUGACUAUCAGAUCAAAUCGGAUAAGAAGUGAUAGGACCGAGAUUUCUUCAUCGAUUUCAUAAAAUCAAGUAGAGAGAGAAAAUUAGAGGAGAGAAUUCAUGAGGUACAAUUCGAAUUGAUCAGGUGACACAAUCCAACAUUACGAUUGAUCCAAUAUCUCGAUUGGUGAAAUCAACAUAAUCAAAUCAAGUCAUGACUAGAUCGAAAUCAUGGAUGAUCAAAUCUAAAGAUUCAUGGUCUGAUCAAGGUGGGUGCCAGUACGUUGUCAGAUAAUCAUGGAUCAGGGUUCAUUAGAAUCAGAUCAGGAUUAUUAAAAGAAAUUUCUUCAUUCACUAACCUUUUUAGAGAGAGAAUCAAUCAAGAGAGAAUAUUUUAGAGAAAAAAUUCUAGAGAGAAAAUUUUAGAGAGAAAAAGCUCAUCUUAAAUUCUUCAGACAAUAUGAUUCAACAAAUCCGAUCGAUUGGAUCAAAUCAUGCUGAAAUUAUCAUGUGGAUAAUUCAAUAAAAUCUAAAAAUACCUGAUCUGAUCAAAGUGGAUGUCGGUGUACCAUCCGACGAUCACAGAUCAAAAAUCCAUCACGAGGAUCAUUUAAAUUCAUCAUCAUUCUUCUCAAAAUUCUAGAAAUCUUAGUAGAG